AUUGGACGCUGGCGGCAGGCCUAACACAUGCAAGUCGAACGGUAACAGGAAGACGCUUGCUUCUUUGCUGACGAGUGGCGGACGGGUGAGUAAUGUCUGGGAAACUGCCUGAUGGAGGGGGAUAACUACUGGAAACGGUAGCUAAUACCGCAUAACGUCGCAAGACCAAAGAGGGGGACCUUCGGGCCUCUUGCCAUCGGAUGUGCCCAGAUGGGAUUAGCUAGUAGGUGGGGUAACGGCUCACCUAGGCGACGAUCCCUAGCUGGUCUGAGAGGAUGACCAGCCAAACUGGAACUGAGAAACGGCCCAGACCCCUACGGGGGGCAGCAGUGGGGAAAAUGGCAAAAGGGGGGAAAGCCUGAUGAAGCCAGGCGGGGUGUAUGAAGAAGGCCUUGGGGUUUUAAAGUACUUUCAGGGGGGAGGAAGGGAGAAAAGUUAAUACCUUGGCUCAUGGACGUUACCCGAAAAAGAAGCACCGGCUAACUCCGG
RNAcentral lists this ribosomal RNA (489 nucleotides) under uncultured bacterium. RNAcentral's name for it is "partial 16S ribosomal RNA". It matches the Rfam family "Bacterial small subunit ribosomal RNA", at positions 29 to 506 of the family's 1533-position model. The record is from RNAcentral.